AUAGCAAGCUUGAGGCCAGCCUAGGUUAUGAAACGUUCAAAAAUUGAGAGAGACUCACAAGUGCAGAUAGUGUGCUACAUGAGUGGCAAGCUUUCGCUAAUACUCCACUCUGGCCUGUGAGUGGAGUCUGAUAGUAACUUUGCUACAAGC
Molecule: small nucleolar RNA, 150 nt
Filed under: Nannospalax galili (Upper Galilee mountains blind mole rat)
Lineage: Eukaryota; Metazoa; Chordata; Mammalia; Rodentia; Spalacidae
Source: RNAcentral